AAACAUCUGAAGUCAAGGGCUUCCUGUAAUACUUUCUAUUCUCUAAAUAGGCAUACCCCUGACAUUGCUGAGAUAUAUUCUUUGAAAAUAUGGCUGUAUUUUGGGAUAAAUGAUCCUAUAGGUUAUCAUGCAGUUAGUGAGGUUCCAUUCUAGAACCAGCUGAGACACGACGACAAACCCUACAGGCAGCCGGCUCCAUCAGGUCAUCCCCUCCCCUCCCUGGCUUCCAGCCUCGGCCUACAAGGGUGCAACCGCCUUGGCAACCGUGGCCACGGCAGCUGCUGUUGCCUCCAUCCUGCUCCAGACUUUUCCUUGCCACGGCUGGGCCUGAAGCGGGCUACAACUGAGAAAGGGAGAGCAACCACCACCCGGAGUACGGCUGCAGUGAGAAAGGACUGGCAGAAGAAGAGAGCUGAAGAGGCCUGCUCUCCAAAUUAUCUGAAAAGGACAGCCAUAACUGUGAGGGGAUGUUUGGAGGAAGAGUGCAAGAGAUCUUAUGGAACAAGCAUCUAAUAAACAUGAACAAGUGUCUGAUA
Molecule: long non-coding RNA, 536 nt
Organism: Ornithorhynchus anatinus (platypus)
Lineage: Eukaryota; Metazoa; Chordata; Mammalia; Monotremata; Ornithorhynchidae
Exons: 3
Source: RefSeq, a predicted model, not a curated record